UACGAAGGGGGCUAGCGUUGCUCGGAAUCACUGGGCGUAAAGGGUGCGUAGGCGGGUUUUUAAGUCAGAGGUGAAAUCCUGGAGCUCAACUCCAGAACUGCCUUUGAUACUGAAAGUCUUGAGUAUGGGAGAGGUGAGUGGAACUGCGAGUGUAGAGGUGAAAUUCGUAGAUAUUCGCAAGAACACCAGUGGCGAAGGCGGCUCGCUGGCCCAUAACUGACGCUGAGGCACGAAAGCGUGGGGAGCAAACAGG
This 253-nucleotide ribosomal RNA is filed under the name uncultured bacterium. Its description in RNAcentral is "partial 16S ribosomal RNA". It matches the Rfam family "Bacterial small subunit ribosomal RNA", at positions 524 to 776 of the family's 1533-position model. The record is from RNAcentral.